CUUUCAGUUGUAUUAGUACUAGGAAACCAAAAUGACAGCUUGGAGCUUGAGAAAGAUCACACGAUUACUAUAAUUAAGUUUGUGGGUAGGGUCUUGUAAUGAGGAUGUUGGAAUUGAUGGUUAGACCUUGUUCCUCAGAAUUGAAAAGCUAAGAGGGUUAGUAUGUUAUGCCAGAGUGGCUAUUAGCUGUUACAAAGCCCAGGUUUUGGAAUAAUAAGAUAAUUAAAGUUCUUAUUCGUUAAAUGAAAUAUGAUCUACAAUGGUCCACCUAAUCUUGCUGUAGAGUAAGGUGAAAUUCUUAAGGAUUUAUUCCCAGUAUGUGGGAGGAAUUAAGUUUUUAUCAUUGUUUCAAAGUGAAGGAAGUAUGGCAGAGCAUACUUUCACAUCCAGUGAUAAUUUUAUGAAAAGAAUUAAAAAAGCAGAGUUUCUUCUUGUUAACCACAGUGUAUUCACCCAAGCUGUGAUGGAUAAGGAACAGCAGAUCAUUGACUGGAAAAUGUACAGGUGUCAAGAUAGAUCUAAGUAGAUUAUAAUUAGUGGUGUGAUACAGUCACCUUCUAGCAAAAGAUCUUGGUGUGCUCAAAGGUUCAUCCGUCUCUGUUGCAACAGCAGCCAUAUAAAAUUGCUUAAUACCGUCAUGUGCAGUACAGCAAAUUAUUCCCAGUAUUUGUAGCAUUCUAGAUGCCCUAAAGGGACUGUUGUAUUUAAAUAAAAGAAAGCAAUAUUGCACAAGUAGUUGUUGCAGGUCAAGUGGGCACUGGAAAAUUACAAUGCCACUGAAAAUAUAUAAACAAAAGAUGAAAAUGAAAAAGUCAGUGAAUGUACAAUUUGGGCAAUACAUUUGAUUCAGAAAAGUUGAAGAGAGAUUUUAAAUAUUGUAGCUGUGGUGGACAAAGUUAAUGAACAGUUCAUGUUCGUGUUGGGAACAAAAUAAACAACAUACAAACCUUAUAUGUGAUGAGGUCCUUGCUAGAGGGAAAGCAGUGAAGCGUAGAGCAAGAAAGGUAUGUCUUGAUGUAGUUUGGUUUGGGAACAUCUCACACUUGUUGUUUGGAGUCAACAACUACUGUUAAUGGUCUGUAGCAGGGAAAGCAUCGUGUCGCAUUCAGUUUCACGCAACAGGAAUUGAUAAUUUCUACACAGGAGUCUUAAAGCUGGGGAGGUCUGUGUUGAUUUUGGGAUUUGCCAGCUACUGGGAUAUUGCCAAGGAAACUGCUUUAUUUAAAACGUAAAAAGAGGAUCACUCAAGAAGAAAUUUGUCAUGGUGAGAGGAAUGAUUCAGGAGAGGACUGUCUAGUCAUCACAGGAAGAAUAUGGACACUUCAGAGGGAGUUUAAAGGAAAGAGAACUAAAAAUAUUUCUGAAGAUGCAGAGCAAAUUGCAGGAUGGGAAGCUUAAGGAUGCCAAGAUUAAGAAGUGACUUAGAAAAUAUCUCCUCAGGGGGUGACUGCAGUAUAAAUAAAGCAGUGAUGCCUGUGUUAGUUUGGAAUUUAUCUGCAUCUUAUCUGAAGUUAUAUUUCCUCACCUGCUGUUUUAAUUUGAGCAAACUCAAUUUCCAACCACUAGCUCUUAUGCUAUGAAGUUCAUCUACAUUAGCUUUUUUAUGUGCCACUGUCUCUACACAUUGAUCAAAGGUUAAUUUGCAGUAAAGUGAAACAUACAAUUGCUAACUAGCCAGCCCACGUUUAAAUGAAUUUCUAAUCCCACAUUGGAACUCACUCUGGGCUGCCCAGUCUGUCUGAUGAGCAGUGUGUGGUUUACUGGUGCAAGGAGAGAAGGACAAUUUAAAAUAGAAAAGCAGCUAUUGAAUUCUACUUAAUUCAAACACUGUAUAGCUACCGAUCA
This is a long non-coding RNA of Phasianus colchicus (ring-necked pheasant), 1845 nucleotides long. RefSeq lists it as uncharacterized. The record is from RefSeq and is a predicted model, not a curated record. Lineage: Eukaryota; Metazoa; Chordata; Aves; Galliformes; Phasianidae.